RNAcentral lists this ribosomal RNA (486 nucleotides) under uncultured bacterium. RNAcentral describes it as "partial 16S ribosomal RNA". It matches the Rfam family "Bacterial small subunit ribosomal RNA", at positions 28 to 507 of the family's 1533-position model. The record is from RNAcentral.
GACGAACGCUGGCGGCGUGCUUAACACAUGCAAGUCGAACGCUGAAGACCUGGCUUUUGUUGGGUUGGAUGAGUGGCGAACGGGUGAGUAACACGUGAGUAACCUGCCCUCUUCUUUGGGAUAACGCCCGGAAACGGGUGCUAAUACUGGAUAUUCACUGAUCUUCGCAUGGGGGUUGGUGGAAAGGUUUGUUCUGGUGGGGGAUGGGCUCGCGGCCUAUCAGCUUGUUGGUGGGGUGAUGGCCUACCAAGGCUUUGACGGGUAGCCGGCCUGAGAGGGUGACCGGUCACAUUGGGACUGAGAUACGGCCCAGACUCCUACGGGAGGCAGCAGUGGGGAAUAUUGCACAAUGGGCGAAAGCCUGAUGCAGCGACGCCGCGUGAGGGAUGGAGGCCUGCGGGUUGUAAACCUCUUUCGCUCAUGGUCAAGCCGCAACUGUGGGUUGUGGUGGGGGUAGUGGGUAAAGAAGCGCCGGCUAACUACGUG